This 1214-nucleotide long non-coding RNA is filed under the name Coturnix japonica (Japanese quail). RNAcentral describes it as "lncRNA (ENSCJPG00005015433.1)". The record is from RNAcentral. Lineage: Eukaryota; Metazoa; Chordata; Aves; Galliformes; Phasianidae.
GUCUGGGUGUGCUCAGUAUCACCUCUUUCCCUUGAAGCGUGGGGCCAGUGGAGCCUUGUGCUCGCUGUGUGCUGAGCUCUGGGCCCCCUCUUUGGGCCCAGCUGUACUCGGCCCCCCCCAAACACUGAGCUCCCAUAGCUCUGAAGGACGCAGCGUGCAGUCCGCUCUGCGGCUGCCAUGGCAACGGUGGGAUGCAAAACCUCUGCUUAAAACCCCAAACAAACAAACCCUCCCCUCCACCAGACCCAAAGCACCCUGCUUUCCCCAUUUUCUUCUUCUGGGGCCAGAUGAAGACAUAUUAGGAUUUAUUUUCCACUAAGGGAGAUAGAUGAUAGAACCCCAGAACGGCUUGGGUCGCAAGGAACCUCAAAGACCAGCCAGUUCUGACCCUGCAGAGCUGGGGCCUGGGGUAAAAGAGGCAAAAUUUCCCCCCUCUUGGGAACCACCCGCAAGGGGUGACAGAAACCCCAGAGAUUCAUAGGGAUGAGAAGCACGGAGUGUCCAUAGAAAUGACACAGUGGGGCACCUCAGCCCAUUUCCUAUAGGAAACGCAUUGGCAGAAAUGCCGGAGGAUCUGUAAGAUUUAAUUAAGUAUAUCUGAGUACCUUGAAACCUGAGUCAGUGAAGUGAAUGCAGAGAGCUUGCAUUUAAUGGAGAGCAAUUUGGAAGAGAAGGCAACGUGACACCAAAGACAGCACCGGGGCCACAGCACUGCGGUGAGGGGCAGCUUCAGCCAUAAGGGACUGCUGUGAAGGACCAUCCCAGGCAUGAGAUGGAAUCACAGAAUCAUUGGAGCUAGAAAAGACCUCUGAGGUCAUGAAGUCAACCCAUCCCCACCAUGGACGUGGUCCAAACCCUUCUGCAGCAAUGCUUGGGACUGCUCUGCUCCGAAGCCCCCUUGUGCUGAGGAGUACACAGAGCUUGGGAGGGAAUCAAGAGCAGAAAGUGUCUAAACAAGCCCGAACAGAUUGGGAACUCAAAUCUCGAGAACUGUGAUUUUGUAUUGCUCAGACUCUUCUUUGACGCUCCCAAUGGUUGCAUUUCGGAUCUGCAUCUCUUCUUUCCCCAGAAAACCCCGAAAGGAGAGAACUGUACCCACACGGUCAGGAUGCCCCUCAGCCCUUCCCCUGGGAUCUGCGGAGGCACCAACGCAGCACAGUAAUUAACAACUAAUAAUCACAGACCACUGGCAAAGGAAGAGACAUAAAAAGUGG